UGCGCAGUAUGCUGUGCGUCGUAUCGUUUUCGUUUUUCGUUUCCUUCUCUCAGUCCGCCAUAUUUUUAUUUGUACACGUAUAAAGCGCUACAAAUUUAUUUUGUGCAUUUUAACGGUGCAUAUUCUUUUCAAACCUGAUUUACAACUGAAAGUUAGUGACCAUUGCUGUGAAAAUGAGUUACGGAAGACCUCCGCCUCGGAUCGACGGUAUGGUUUCCUUAAAAGUCGACAAUCUAACGUACCGCACCACACCGGAGGAUUUGAGAAGAGUUUUCGAAAGAUGUGGAGAAGUCGGUGACAUUUAUAUUCCCAGGGAUCGGUUUACAAGAGAAAGCAGAGGCUUCGCUUUCGUCAGGUUCUAUGACAAGCGUGACGCCGAAGACGCAUUAGACGCUAUGGACGGUCGCAUGUUGGACGGAAGGGAGCUGAGAGUCCAGAUGGCAAGAUAUGGCAGGCCGACCAGCCCCCACAGGAGAUACCGUGGACGAAGGAGGUCUCGUUCACGCUCAAGAUAUUCUCGCUCUAGGUCACGCGGAAGAAGAAGCCGAUCCAGGUCUCACCACCGGAGGUCCGUCAGUAGGAGUCGCUCCAGGUCCGACAGCAAGAGUUCCAGGGGCAGAUCCAGGUCGCCUUCGAAGGAGGACAAGGGGAGGUCCAAAUCGAACAGCAAGUCACGGUCUCGGUCUAGGUCUUAGGUGAAUUGGUGGUUUGCAGAGUGCAGUGCAGUAAAGUAGGCGCCUGCUCUCUAAAGCAGGCGGAGAGUUGCUGUGGGCAGAGAGUAGCUGUUGCAGUGCAGUGCAGCCAAAGGUGCGAGAAUGUACGAGAGUGUAGCGGUGGUAACGGGUGUACGAGAGAGAGAGAGAGCGGACGGCUGCGGUGUGGACCCUUGCCAGGCCCAGGGCGCAGUCUCUCAGUCAGUCAUGCGAACUGUACCACCUGUCCAGCUCACCAAAAAUAUACUUAGAUUGAUGAGAGGCGUAGGGCUAGGUGGAAAAAAACGACAAACCCUCUCGGAUUCGUUAUUUGAUAUCUUUGACGGGUACCCGACGUGUUUUUUUGUUACGUGAUACAAAAUUUGAGUAGAACACUUGAUUUACGAUAUUUUAGGUGUGGCGCUGUGAUCAAUCGAGGUUCGGGAAAUUCGAGUUACUUUUAUUUGUUCAUACUUUAGUGCGGUUUAAAGUUGUAGGGAACUUAAAUCUUGCCGAAAUUACUGUAGUUUUAAUUUCCUAUGUACAAGGCGUUUUGGAAAAGGUAGACGGGACGUCAAAAUAUAUAUUUUUCCUAAGGACCACGGUCUUUUCCGAAAAACGGCGUGACGUAUUGAAAUUUUGUACGGGCAAGGUUUCAAGUGCGAUAAAAUGCAUUGGUGUUGUUUGUUUUUGAGUAUUUGCUGGAGGUUGCUAUGUAGAAGCUUACCCUGUGACAUUUUAUUAUAUAACUUUUUUCAGGUUCGGUUUUAUACAGGGUGUAACUUACGUGCGUGUCAGUUUUU
Anoplophora glabripennis (Asian longhorned beetle) is the source of this 1495-nucleotide RNA transcript. It is a transcript of the gene named serine/arginine-rich splicing factor 2, with no coding region annotated. The transcript has 5 exons. The record is from RefSeq and is a predicted model, not a curated record. Lineage: Eukaryota; Metazoa; Arthropoda; Insecta; Coleoptera; Cerambycidae.